Molecule: small nucleolar RNA, 138 nt
Organism: Tachyglossus aculeatus (Australian echidna)
Lineage: Eukaryota; Metazoa; Chordata; Mammalia; Monotremata; Tachyglossidae
Source: RefSeq, a predicted model, not a curated record
UACCUCUCAGGGUUACACCUGCAGGGUUUCCAGUACUCUACUAGUCUCGACUACAGGAGGGAGAGCCAAGCAGAGGCAUACCCAUUACGUUCCUAGCUUGGGCAGUGGCUAGUGAGUGGAAGGCAAUCUGCUACAAGU